This is a long non-coding RNA of Bradysia coprophila, 467 nucleotides long. RefSeq lists it as uncharacterized. The record is from RefSeq and is a predicted model, not a curated record. Lineage: Eukaryota; Metazoa; Arthropoda; Insecta; Diptera; Sciaridae.
CGAAUGUCUACAACCACGUAUUGCAUGUACCGAUAAGCAGUGAUGAUAUGUUACCCGACGCAACGCCUGCCUGUGAUAAUUAAUUUGACUGAACGACCGUGUUUUUAAUAAUUCUUUUUAUAAACUUUAAUCUAAAAGUACAAGUCUCAUAAGUUAUUUUAGUGUGUGUCCAUGCUUAGUUGAAAUGUUGAACCCGAUGUAAUUAGUGAGAUAAUUCAAGAUAAUGAACACACACGUAAAAGUCAGAAUUAGAAUGAGAACGUACUAUGACGAAGACAAUGUAAUUGUUUAACACAUAGGUCAACAACCAUUGAUAAUGACUGUGAAUUACAGUCGAAAUAUUUGGUGACCAUUAAAUGAAACUUGAGCAAUUCCGAUAUACCAAUCUUUAAUGUGUAAAUAUACCUUUCCCUCAGCUUGGAUAUACAAACUUACCAGAAACUUACUCAUUUUCAAGUAAAAGCAUU